UGUUGCCUACGGGAGGCAGCAGUGGGGAAUAUUGCACAAUGGGGGAAACCCUGAUGCAGCGACGCCGCGUGAGUGAAGAAGUAUCUCGGUACGUAAAGCUCUAUCAGCAGGGAAGAAAAUGACGGUACCUGACUAAGAAGCCCCGGCUAACUACGUGCCAGCAGCCGCGGUAAUACGUAGGGGGCAAGCGUUAUCCGGAUUUACUGGGUGUAAAGGGCGUGCAGCCGGGAAGACAAGUCAGAUGUGAAAUCCCGCGGCUCAACCGCGGAACUGCAUUUGAAACUGUUUUUCUUGAGUACCGGAGG
Molecule: ribosomal RNA, 305 nt
Filed under: uncultured bacterium
Lineage: Bacteria
Description: bacterial SSU rRNA
Rfam family: Bacterial small subunit ribosomal RNA
Source: RNAcentral